This is a long non-coding RNA of Balaenoptera ricei (Rice's whale), 1038 nucleotides long. RefSeq lists it as uncharacterized. Lineage: Eukaryota; Metazoa; Chordata; Mammalia; Artiodactyla; Balaenopteridae. The transcript has 4 exons. The record is from RefSeq and is a predicted model, not a curated record.
GCACCCGUCUCUGGAGCUCGUUUAGGCGGCGCUCUGAAUCCCCUCUCCUCGCGCACCAGGAAACAAAGAGGUCCCAGUUGGAAACAUUGUUUAAAGUAGUGAGGUUUUAGGACAUGGAAGCAACCAAAAUGUCCUUUGACAGAGGAAUGGAUAAAGAAGAUGUGGUACAUAUAUACAAUGGAAUAUUACUCAGCCAUAAAAAGAAGUGAAAUAACGCCAUUUGCAGCAACACGGAUGGACCUAGAGAUUGGCAUACUGAGUGAAGAAUGUCUCUUGUUAAAUACCUGAUUGCUUGCACCAUAGAGAGAACAAAAUAAAGACACAACGGUUUCACUGGACUGAACCAUCCUCAGGACUGAGAGACUGAGUUGCUACCGAAUCAGCUUGUAAAAUGUGAAAAUUUCUGAAAGCCCAGUUUCAAAUGGGGGACUGAAGGAAACCUGAAUAUGUCAUCCCCAAAUAUGCCACUUUGAAAUAAGGAUUUGAGCUGUAAGCAAUUGAGAAGAAGUAGAUAGAUGUACCUACCAUAUGAUCCAGCAAUCGCACUCCUGGGCAUGUAUCCAGAGAAAGCCAUAAUUCAAAAAGAGGCAUGUACCACAAUGUUCAUUGCAGCUCUAUUUACAAUAGCCAGGACACGGAAGCAACCUAAGUGUCCAUCAACAGAUGAAUGGAUAAAGAAGAUGUGGCACAUAUAGACAAUGGAAUAUUACUCAGCCAUAAAAAGAAAUGAAAUUGAGUUAUUUGUAGUGAGGUGGAUGGACCUAGAGUCUGUCAUACAGAGUGAAGUAAGUCAGAAAAACAAAUACUGUUUGCUAACACAUAUAUAUGGAAUCUAAAAAAAAAAAGGUUCUGAAAAACCUAGGGGCAGGACAGGAAUAAAGAUGCAGACAUAGAGAAUGGACUUGAGGACACAGGGAGGGGGAAGGGUAAGCUGGGACGAAGUGAGAGAGUGGCAUGGACAUAUAUACACUACCAAAUGUAAAACAGAUACCUAGGGGAAGCAGCCGCAUAGCACAGGGAGAUCAGCUCGGUGCUUCG